GCUCCAAUAGCGUAUAUUAAAGUUGUUGCGGUUAAAAAGCUCGUAGUUGGAUUUCUGUUGAGGUUGGGUGGUCCUUCUCCGAAGGCGUAUUUGCUUCGAUCUCGGCAUCCUUCUGAAAGACUGUGCUGCCUUCAUUGAGUGGUCAGGAUUUCAGGACUUUUUACUUUGAGGAAAUUAGAGUGUUUACGGCAGGCAGGCGC
Molecule: ribosomal RNA, 200 nt
Filed under: uncultured eukaryote
Lineage: Eukaryota
Description: partial 18S ribosomal RNA
Rfam family: Eukaryotic small subunit ribosomal RNA
Source: RNAcentral